RNAcentral lists this ribosomal RNA (369 nucleotides) under Triticum aestivum (bread wheat). Its description in RNAcentral is "partial small subunit ribosomal RNA". Lineage: Eukaryota; Viridiplantae; Streptophyta; Magnoliopsida; Poales; Poaceae. The record is from RNAcentral.
AUGUCGAGGAUGAUGGUGACGAGCAAGUCGGAGUUCGUGAGGCCGAAGCCAUUCCAGCUCUUCCACAGCCACAAGGAGAGCCUUGACAGGCUGUACGAGUGGGACAAGAAGCUCUACGAGGAAGUCAAGCCAGACGAGCGCGUUCGGCUGUGGUACGACAAGAAGUGCGUGCACCUGAGGAGCCAUGACGCCAACAGUGCGGAACCGUUCGCCCUCAAGACGACCAGGGCUGCCAUCAGGACCUCGGGACCAAGCUCAGCAUCUCCCUCGCCUCCAUCGACACCGUGUCCCAGAGGGUUAUCACCUCGCAACAACGAGCUGCUGCCUACUGCUGUAGGCCGUAGCUUGCUUAGCUCAUCCGAAGGCUGA